Molecule: ribosomal RNA, 444 nt
Filed under: uncultured bacterium
Lineage: Bacteria
Description: bacterial SSU rRNA
Rfam family: Bacterial small subunit ribosomal RNA
Source: RNAcentral
GUGAGGAAUAUUGGUCAAUGGGCGCGAGCCUGAACCAGCCAAGUAGCGUGCAGGAUGACGGCCCUAUGGGUUGUAAACUGCUUUAGCCGGGGAAUAAAGUGGGCCACGUGUGGCUUAUUGCAUGUACCCGGAGAAUAAGCAUCGGCUAAUUCCGUGCCAGCAGCCGCGGUAAUACGGAAGAUGCGAGCGUUAUCCGGAUUUAUUGGGUUUAAAGGGAGCGUAGGCGGGAUGGUAAGUCAGCGGUCAAAUGUCCGUGCCCAACGCGGUCAUGCCGUUGAUACUGCCGUUCUUGAAUACACACAAGGGAGAUGGAAUUCGUUGUGUAGCGGUGAAAUGCUUAGAUAUGACGAAGAACUCCGAUUGCGAAGGCAGUCUCCUGGGGUGGCAUUGACGCUGAGGCUCGAAAGUGCGGGAAUCAAACAGGAUUAGAUACCCUAGUAGUCC